This 374-nucleotide ribosomal RNA is filed under the name uncultured eukaryote. RNAcentral's name for it is "partial 18S ribosomal RNA". It matches the Rfam family "Eukaryotic small subunit ribosomal RNA", at positions 592 to 976 of the family's 1831-position model. The record is from RNAcentral.
CAAUAGCGUAUAUUUAAGUUGUUGCAGUUAAAAUGCUCGUAGUUGGAUUUCUGCUAACCGCUGUCGGUCUGCCUUUCGGUGUGUACUGGCAGCGUUUGGCAUCUAUUCGAGAUUGGGCGUCCACUUGAUUGUGUGCGCUUGAUUUCGGAGCUGAUACUUUGAAAAAAUUAGAGUGUUCAAAGCGGACUUACGCUUGAAUAUUUCAGCAUGGAAUAACACUAUAGGACUCCUGUCCUAUUUCGUUGGUCUCGGGACGGGAGUAAUGAUUAAGAGGAACAGUUGGGGGCAUUCGUAUUUCAUUGUCAGAGGUGAAAUUCUUGGAUUUAUGAAAGACGAACUUCUGCGAAAGCAUUUGCCAAGGAUGUUUUCAUUAA